Molecule: ribosomal RNA, 324 nt
Filed under: uncultured eukaryote
Lineage: Eukaryota
Description: partial 18S ribosomal RNA
Rfam family: Eukaryotic small subunit ribosomal RNA
Source: RNAcentral
CCCUUAGAUGUUCUGGGCUGCACGCGCGCUACACUGAUGCGAUCAACAAGUUUUUCCUAUGUCGAUAGACACGGGUAAUCUUUUGAACUCGCAUCGUGAUGGGGAUAGAUUAUUGUAAUUAUUAAUCUUCAACGAGGAAUUCCUAGUAAGUGCAAAUCAUCAGUUUGCAUCGAUUACGUCCCUGCCCUUUGUACACACCGCCCGUCGCUGCUACCGAUUGGUUGAUCUGGUGAAUUAUUCGGACUGCCGGCUGAAGGGGUUUCCUCAUCUGCCAGCGGAAAGUCUUGUUAACCCUAUCAACUAGAGGAAGCAGAAGUCGUAACA